AGCGCCCGACGUUGUUGGUGGCCGGCUUUCGUUUGCGCCAACACUUCGACGUAGGGGACCGUACUUUCGGUCGCGGAAGGCACCCGGCUUCGGCUGCGGGUACCGGAAACGGCUGGGGCGGACCCCACCUGUUCCCUCGAGAGCAGGUGCAAACGUCGACCGGUCACGGCACUCGUGGAGCGCUG
Molecule: non-coding RNA, 185 nt
Filed under: Actinomycetes bacterium
Lineage: Bacteria; Bacillati; Actinomycetota; Actinomycetes
Also listed under: 1 other name
Description: 6S RNA
Rfam family: 6S / SsrS RNA
About the family: E. coli 6S RNA was the first non coding RNA to be sequenced, but its function was unknown until recently. It consists of 184 nucleotides that fold into an extended hairpin structure with a large single-stranded internal bulge. The 6S RNA specifically associates with RNA polymerase holoenzyme containing the sigma70 specificity factor.
Source: RNAcentral